UCAGAUGCGAAAGCGUGGGUAGCAAACAGGAUUAGAUACCCUGGUAGUCCACGCCGUAAACGCUGUCUACUUGGAGGUUGAGGUUUUAGAUUUUGGCUUUCGGCGCUAACGCAUUAAGUAGACCGCCUGGGGAGUACGGCCGCAAGGUUAAAACUCAAAUGAAUUGACGGGGGCCCGCACAAGCGGUGGAGCAUGUGGUUUAAUUCGAUGCAACGCGAAGAACCUUACCUACUCUUGACAUCCAGCGAAGCCUUUAGAGAUAGAGGUGUGCCUUCGGGAGCGAUGAGACAGGUGCUGCAUGGCUGUCGUCAGCUCGUGUUGUGAAAUGUUGGGUUAAGUCCCGCAACGAGCGCAACCCUUAUCCUUGUUUGCCAGCACAUAAUGGUGGGAACUCCAGGGAGACUGCCGGUGAUAAACCGGAGGAAGGUGGGGACGACGUCAAGUCAUCAUGGCCCUUACGAGUAGGGCUACACACGUGCUACAAUGGCAGAUACAGAGGGCAGCGAGACAGCGAUGUUUAGCGAAUCCCUUAAAGUUUGUCGUAGUCCGGAUUGGAGUCUGCAACUCGACUCCAUGAAGUCGGAAUCGCUAGUAAUCGUGGAUCAGAAUGCCACGGUGAAUACGUUCUCGGGCCUUGUACACACCGCCC
RNAcentral lists this ribosomal RNA (649 nucleotides) under uncultured bacterium. RNAcentral's name for it is "bacterial SSU rRNA". It matches the Rfam family "Bacterial small subunit ribosomal RNA", at positions 747 to 1395 of the family's 1533-position model. The record is from RNAcentral.